This is a long non-coding RNA of Panthera uncia (snow leopard), 258 nucleotides long. RefSeq lists it as uncharacterized. Lineage: Eukaryota; Metazoa; Chordata; Mammalia; Carnivora; Felidae. The transcript is spliced from 2 exons. The record is from RefSeq and is a predicted model, not a curated record.
UGUACGAAUCACCUUUUUCUCUUCCCUCUGUCUGUCUGACUCACAGACUGAUGCCUGCAGGAGGAGUCCUCUGGACAUCAGGAAGAGGAAAGUCACCCAUUAAGCAGCAUUAUUUCUGUUUCCCUGACCCUGACAUCCCACAUGGGAGCUCGUCUGGUGACCUAGAUCCUUGCAGGAAUGAUGCGGCAGAGUCAUGGUCAACUGCCAGUGGACACACAAUCUGAGCAAGAAAUAAACCUUUGUGCUGUAACCCGUCAA